CUCUACAAUAGCAUCUCCAUCCAUACUUACAGCCAAAUCCUCCAAAACCUCUAUCAAAUCCUCUUCAAAACCCACUUCUUCUAUCAUUCCAACUAUGGCUUCAUCACUUGAAACUAAACCCACUCUUUUUAAGUUUUUCUCUUGUUUCUUCACCCUUCUUUUAUUUACAAAAUCCAAAUCUUUGAUCUUUUGAACACUCACAAA
RNAcentral lists this long non-coding RNA (204 nucleotides) under Physcomitrium patens. RNAcentral describes it as "long non-coding RNA (PPAT_LNC004254)". Lineage: Eukaryota; Viridiplantae; Streptophyta; Bryopsida; Funariales; Funariaceae. The record is from RNAcentral.